AUGUUUGCUAAUGUUGUCUGUAAAACUAUCCAUGAUACUCAUACCUGUUUGUGGGAUUUUCUUGGUUGCAAAGUGAGGACAUGUGCUGCUGCACGGGGAAGAACACCAUGUCCGAACCGGACUACUGCUCUGGAGAAGGCUUAUGAUCGUCUGGUUUCUGGUUUCAAGGACUGCAUGGUGGAAAUGCCGCCUUUUGCAGAGAUUAGGGAUGAGCUUGGACUGGAAGACAGGAUUGCCGAAAACGGUGAUGUCGUGAACCAAAUUUUCAGACUGAAGGGGCACUUGUCUUUGUUGGGGACAAAGGACAAAAUAGCCUUGCCAAUUAUGUUAAUUCAGCAAAUGAGUCUAGGAACAGAUCGGCAGGACUUUUGCCAUUGGCAAAGAGGAAGGAGAUGGGCAGGCAUACGACCGGCAGAGAGAAAGCGCCGUGCGAAGUGUUGA
This 441-nucleotide ribosomal RNA is filed under the name Triticum aestivum (bread wheat). Its description in RNAcentral is "partial small subunit ribosomal RNA". The record is from RNAcentral. Lineage: Eukaryota; Viridiplantae; Streptophyta; Magnoliopsida; Poales; Poaceae.